RNAcentral lists this long non-coding RNA (476 nucleotides) under Lonchura striata (white-rumped munia). RNAcentral's name for it is "domestica (Bengalese finch) lncRNA (ENSLSDG00000008694.1)". The record is from RNAcentral. Lineage: Eukaryota; Metazoa; Chordata; Aves; Passeriformes; Estrildidae.
UACUGUGGAAGAUGUCAAUGAAGAAGGACCCACGUUUGACCAGUCCUCAUAUUACAAGGUCCUCUUAGACAGCUCUACAGCUGGCAGCCUGGUAGUAGACAUCAAUGCAAGAGAUGAAGGCAAGGGUUAUGAUGAAGGCAUUUUCUACAAUAUUUCAGGUGGAAACUCAGAAGGCCUCUUUAGUCUUUCCAGUACCACGGGAGAGCUCAGGUUAACAAGAGACUUAUCCAAACAAACUGUUCCCCUGUAUUACUCCUUGAACAUCACCGCUACGGAUUCGGGUCUGCCACCUCUUUCAACCUCUGUAAAGGUGUCAGUCAUAAUUGCUCCCAUGGAUGUGUCCUUCCCAGUGUUCCUGGAAGAAGCCUAUCACCCUGCCCCUCUGUCAGAGAAGAGCCCCACAGAUACGUUUGUUGUUGAGGUUAGAGCCUUGUACAAGCUCCCUGUGAACUACAGCAUCGCCUCUGGAGAUGAGA